RNAcentral lists this ribosomal RNA (408 nucleotides) under Triticum aestivum (bread wheat). Its description in RNAcentral is "partial small subunit ribosomal RNA". Lineage: Eukaryota; Viridiplantae; Streptophyta; Magnoliopsida; Poales; Poaceae. The record is from RNAcentral.
GCAGGCACAUUGCAAAAGAAGGAAAAGCAGAAGAAACUGUCACGAGGAUACUUUAGCACAUCCAACAAUCUCGAAGGCAAACAUACGGAAUUUCCAUUUGUUAGCUAUGGAGACAUCCUUUCAGCAACAAAUUUUUUCGCUGAUUCCAACUUGCUUGGACGGGGAGGUUUUGGCAAUGUUUACAAGGGCACACUUGAAGGUGGAAAUGAGGUUGCUGUAAAAAGGCUUAGUCAGAGCUCCGGACAAGGUAUAGUGGAGUUCAAAAAUGAAGUAAUUCUAAUUGCCAAGCUGCAGCACAAGAACCUAGUCGGACUUCUUGGGUCGUGCAUUCAUGAAGACGAGAAGUUACUGAUCUACGAAUACUUACCUAACAAAAGCUUGGAUGUUUUUCUUUUCGAUGCUUCAUGA